This 429-nucleotide ribosomal RNA is filed under the name Actinomycetes bacterium. Its description in RNAcentral is "Actinobacteria bacterium partial 16S ribosomal RNA". It matches the Rfam family "Bacterial small subunit ribosomal RNA", at positions 355 to 776 of the family's 1533-position model. The record is from RNAcentral. Lineage: Bacteria; Bacillati; Actinomycetota; Actinomycetes.
UAGGGAAUCUUCCGCAAUGGGCGAAAGCCUGACGGAGCAACGCCGCGCGAGUGAUGAAGGUCUUCGGAUCGUAAAACUCUGUUAUUAGGGAAGAACAAAUGUGUAAGUAACUAUGCACGUCUUGACGGUACCUAAUCAGAAAGCCACGGCUAACUACGUGCCACCAGCCGCGGUAAUACGUAGGUGGCAAGCGUUAUCCGGAAUUAUUGGGCGUAAAGCGCGCGUAGGCGGUUGUUUAAGUCUGAUGUGACAGCCCACGGCUCAACCGUGGAGGGUCAUUGGAAACUGGAAAACUUGAGUGCAGAAAAGGAAAGUGGAAUUCCAGGUGUAGCGGUGAAAUGCGCAGAGAUAUGGAGGAACACCAGUGGCGAAGGCGACUUUCUGGUCUGUAACUGACGCUGAUGUGCGAAAGCGUGGGGAUCAAACAGG